Molecule: ribosomal RNA, 440 nt
Filed under: uncultured bacterium
Lineage: Bacteria
Description: partial 16S ribosomal RNA
Rfam family: Bacterial small subunit ribosomal RNA
Source: RNAcentral
CCUACGGGAUGCAGCAGUGGGGAAUAUUGCACAAUGGGGGGAACCCUGAUGCAGCAACGCCGCGUGGGUGAAGAAGUACUCCGGUAUGUAAAGCCCUGUCAGCAGGGAAGAAAAUGACGGUACCUGACCAAGAAGCCCCGGCUAACUACGUGCCAGCAGCCGCGGUAAUACGUAGGGGGCAAGCGUUAUCCGGAUUUACUGGGUGUAAAGGGAGCGUAGACGGCAAGGCAAGUCUGGAGUGAAAGCCCGUGGCCCAACCACGGGACUGCUUUGGAAACUGUGUUGCUGGAGUGCAGGAGGGGUAAGCGGAAUUCCUAGUGUAGCGGUGAAAUGCGUAGAUAUUAGGAGGAACUCCGAUAGCGAAGGCAGCUUACCAGACUGCGACUGACGCUGAAGCACGAGAGCGUGGGUAGCGAACAGGAUUAGAUACCCCAGUAGUC